UACAGAGGGUGCGAGCGUUAAUCGGAAUUACUGGGCGUAAAGCGUGCGUAGACGGUUAUUUAAGUCAGGUGUGAAAGCCCCGGGCUCAACCUGGGAAUUGCAUUUGAGACUGAAUAGCUAGGGUGCGGAAGAGGGAAGCGGAAUUUCCGGUGUAGCGGUGAAAUGCGUAGAUAUCAGGAGGAAUACCCAUAGCGAAGGCAGCUCGCUGGGACGUUACUGACGCUGAGGCGCGAAAGCGUGGGGAGCGAACAGG
This 253-nucleotide ribosomal RNA is filed under the name uncultured bacterium. RNAcentral's name for it is "partial 16S ribosomal RNA". It matches the Rfam family "Bacterial small subunit ribosomal RNA", at positions 524 to 776 of the family's 1533-position model. The record is from RNAcentral.